AUGAAAGUUGAAUAAAACAAAAGGACAUGGUCUGGACAUGGCCUGCACAUAGGACAGAAACUUUUAUUCCUCAGAAUUCCUUUCCCAUUUCCUUACACGAUUGUUUUUCCUUUCUUUGCUGACCUGCCAUCCAAUGGUAAUGCGGGUGAUGAUGAUUGUGUCUCUUGGUUCUCCAACUUAGCAGCUCCAUUGAUCUUCAACAGCCCCCCGCAAGAUGGAGAGUAGAUAUCUACUACUCCCAUCUUGGACAUGCAAGAAUAAAAGCUUUGUGGCAGUCAAUCUCUAUAUGCUUGGUCCUCUCAUGGAAGACAUGAUUGGUGGCUAUAUACAGAGCUGGUUUGUUAUCACAGUAUAGAAAGGCUGCUUGAGGAUGUUCAACAUGUGAUGAUGAUUGUGUCUCUUGGUUCUCCAACUCAGCAGCUACAUUGAUCUUCAACAACAAUAGAAAUUGGGAGAGAUCGAACAAAAAGUAGAGGGGAAGCACAAAAACUAAGAAAUGAUAUUGUGAAAAAAUGUAAAAGAGAGAGAAAACUUUGAAAUAUAUUAACUAUUGAUAAAAUUUGAAAUUAAUAAAUGAAGCCUACAAGUAGGGCUAACUAGCUACAAAAUUUAAAAUUACGAAGAUUUUUUUUUUCAAAAAGAGAAAAUUCAUAUUAUUGCAUGAAAAUUAAUUACGUGAGUAAACAAGAAUCUUCUAAAAAAAUCUGGUCAAAAUUAAAAUAAUAAUUACUUCCAAAACUUGAAAUGAAAUAUCUUCGAAGAAGACAAAAGUGAACAUAAAUAGAAGAUUAGGGAAAAAAAAAAAACUGAAAUUGCUUGUAGAGUACUAGGAAAUUAUGCUAUUUCAACUCAAAAGUCUAGGUCUUUGUGUUGUUCAUCGUGAACAUUGAACUCUUGAAAUAGAGCACGAUUGUGAUACAAGAUUUUAAAACUGGAGUUAGAAUUAUGAUCAUGCAUCUAAGCUUGCAGGUUUUGUGCCUCUAGAUGUUGAGCUAAUUUCGCUAUUUUCUUCUACAAAUUUACAAUCAUCAUGUCCUAAAAGUUACGAUCAUGGUGAGGGGCUUCCUCAGUCAGAACUUGCCCAUGUCGAUCAUGAUCUCUACCACUAGCCAUGAAAGCUGACGAUAAAUCACUCUAGGAAAAUACCCAAAGUCUCGCAAAUGGAGGUGCUUGACAGGACAAAGGAUCUGAAAGAGAAUGAGAAAAUAGUUUGGUCAAAGGUACCAAACCAGGUCUUGUAUUACACUUAUAUAGAUUAGUAUAUUACAACUGAAAAAGGAAAUUUGCAAUCUUGGUAUCUGUAUAUGAUUCUCUAUACUAUAAAUGGAAAUAAUACAUUUGCUAAAUUACUGAACUUUGACCACUAGUAGUGGGAUUCUUAGUUGACUUCCUGUGAUGUGUUGAGCUAGAUAUGGUUAGUGUAUCAUCUUCUUUAACAUUCCCUCACAAGCUGACGAGGAGAUGAUGAACUAGAAACUUGUUCUUGAGGAUUGAGAAUCAAGCAGGGGACAAGCCUUUUGGGAAGAUGUUAGCUCCCUGGUCUUGAGUAGAGAUGAACCGGAUGAGGAUAUCACCAUUCAUAACCUUUUUUUGGAUAAAAUGGUAAUCAACUUCGAUAUGCUUGGUUCUUGCAUAGAAGAUAGGGUUAGAAGGCAAGGUUAGAGCACUAACAAUAUUACACCAUAGAAUGGGAGCUUGAAGAAGAGAAUAUGUAACUCUUUGGAAACCAUGCGUAACCAAAAAAGUUCCAGUUGUGGUGUGUGACAUUCGCUCUAUUCUAAGUUUUAGUGCUUGACCAAGAGACCACAACUUGCUUCUUGCCACUCUAUGAGACUAGUCAAUUCCCAAGGAAUGAUCCAAAAACUGAGGUGGAACACGUCAUUUGAGUUGUCAGCCCAGUUUGAAUCGCAAAAGGCUUGGAGAUCCAAGUGAGACUUGAAAUAGAACAAACCUUAGUCAAUUUUGUGCUUGAGAUAUUUAGGACAUGCUUGGCAGCAGACCAAUGUGCAGUAGUAAGAGAGUGCAUGUUGACACAAUUGGUUGAUAGCAAAGGCAAUGGGAGAUGUGUUCAUUUGCAGUACUGCAAUGAACCAAUGACUUGUCUAUACUUAGUGGGAUCAAGCAAGAUUUCACUGUCAUGUUUAUCGAUUUUGGAGCCCGAGCUCAAAGGGGAGGGAGAUGGUUUGGCUCCAAGCAUCCGAGAGCGAUGAAGUAUGUCCAAAAUAUAUUUGACUUGGCAAAGGUGAAGACCAUCUAAGUUACAAACUACUUGGAUGUCGAGCAAAUAACCAAGGGGGCCUAAGUGAUUGACAAGGAAUUGUGGUUGUAAUUGAGUCACAAGAGAUGUAAUCGAAGGGAGAUGAGUCCUAGUGGUGAUAAUUUUAUCAACAUAAAUGAGUAGAAAAAUCUUGGUGUUGCCUUGAACGAAGAUAAAAAGAGAGGAAUCCACCAAAGAGGCCUUGAACCUGAGAGCUAGUAGAGCUAAAGAUGAGAAAUAGAAGAUAAGCAAUAGAACCAAGCUCAAUGAGCUUGUUUAAGGCCAUAGAUGAACUUGCUGAGGUGACAAAUGCAAUAUGGAUGGAGUGGAUCUAUAAAAUCUUGAGGCUACUUCAUAUACACUUCUUCCAUAAGAUUGCCUUGGAAGAAGGCACUAGAUACAUCAAGUUGAUGGGUGGGCCAAUGAAAAUGGAUUGUAAGGGACAAAAUGACGUGAAUGGUAGAGGUUUUGAUAACAAUGAUGAAAGUUUUUGUGUAGUUUAUCCCAACUUUUUGAUCAAAUCUAUUGGCAAUAAGGCAUAACUUGAACCUAUCAAUUGAACCUUCUAGCCUUUGUUUAAUCUUGUAAACCCAUUUAUUGUGUAUGACAUUAUCAUGUGGAGGUCAUGGACAAAAAGUCCAAGUUGUAGUAGAGGUAAGUGUUGCAAAUUCAUCUGACAUAGUAGCUUACCACCAUGGAUCAACAAAGGCUAUAAUGAUGCAAGUGGGCUAGUCUGUGACUCGGUCUCAAAUGUGUUCUUCCAAGUGUAGAAGUGUCAAGUUGUAUCAAGGAUAAGUCCAUGAUCGUAUUCCACAUGGACAAAAGAUUAUCAAAGCAUUUGUGACAUUUUUCUAUGGUAAAAGAUGCAUCGACUAUGAAAGAUGAAAAUAAAUGUGAGUCUAUGUUUCUAAAAUUACCAAGAACCAAGAGAUUUAAGGAAAAUGUGUAGAAGUUGAAUUAAACAUGUAAGAAGCAAUAAAACAAACACUUGGGAUGCAAUUUUCGCUCAUUUCUAAUUUAAAGUUGGAUUUACCUCUAAUUUCAUCUUCUCUCAACCAUUUUCUCAUUCCAAGAGAUUAUAAUCGAUUAAUUAAACAAUAAGCACACUUUUUAGUAUAAUCAAGGUGCUUGGCAGAUUUUAUAACAAGUGUAAAAGUGAAAGAAAGCCAUCAAAAUCUUGUUACAAGUUCAAGCAUCAAUCGUGCCUUUAUGUCUACGACUGAUCAAGUUCAAGAACAUAGAACUUUAAUCCUUCCUAUAGGCAAAAUGAAAUACAAUCUAUCAAGCUAAUCAUUCAAAAUUCUAUAACCUUGAAGAAAAUCCAACCCAAAAUAGUUAUGAGUUACUCAUUGAAUCCCAAGCUAAAAAUCUAGCCUAUCAUUUCUAAAUUAGCAAAAUGCCCAAAAAUGAUGAACCCUAACAUUUCCAAGUUGUUGUAUGAAAAUAAAUGUAGAAGAAUAAAAAUAACAAGCUAAAUGAUAAUCAAAAUGAUUUAAAGAAAAAAGUACCGAAAACAUCCAAAUGAAAAACUGCAAGAAAAAUAAACUACGAAACACAAUAAUCUAUAAACCCAUGAAAAAUGAAUGAACAACUAAAACUGGGAAAGCAAAAAAAUAAAAACCGAGAGAGCUCCCAGCCACCGCCUCCAAGUCUGGAACUGAAAAGAACGAUGAAGAAGCAACAAAUAAAAGAAAAAAAAAAUCAACUUUGAGAGGGAGAGAGAGAGAGCCUCCCAUCGACCCUCCUAAAUGAAAACGUAAAAUAAAACAAAAGAAAAAGUAGACAAGCCCUACCGCCAAGGUUUUUGUCUCCACAAGACAAAGAAAAUAAAAAAAUAAAAAAAACAAUAACUCAAAACCCAAAAAGUAAACUUCAUGCUGACUCCACUCUCCACUAAAAACAAGUAUUGAAUAAAAAUAAUAAGUGAAUGCCGACUAAGGUCUGGAAAGCCAAAAACUCAAAAUAAAAUCCGGUCCAGUCUGCCACUCCUAGGCCGUUUCCUCAGUGACCUGCUAUGGUCCCAGGACGUGAACUAUUGUGAGGCCAUCUGCCAGUCCCUCCCCUUACAUCUUGCUCUACUAUCAAUUUCUUUGUGUAUAUUUGGGUGAUUCCAAAAUUACCCAUUUGUUGCAAAAUUCCUCUCAAAUGAGGUGUAGGCAGCUCAUAUAUUUU
This is a long non-coding RNA of Carya illinoinensis, 4429 nucleotides long. RefSeq lists it as uncharacterized. NCBI's taxonomy places the organism in Eukaryota, Viridiplantae, Streptophyta, Magnoliopsida, Fagales, Juglandaceae. The record is from RefSeq and is a predicted model, not a curated record. The transcript has 3 exons.